UCCAUCUCUGGUUCACAAACGUCCAAGGCAAGGCAGCAACGUGGGAAUAUACUCCACUCCAACUUCCUUUACCCUAUCCAGACACUGGAACUGGGAUGCUGGGCUGUUGGUCAGUUCUAGUAAAAGAGAUGCAGAUCAUGGGAUUUGGUUCAAGAUAUAUUUCUCCAAGCCUGAGGAUUGUCACCUAUUAUAUGUGUACUGAGACACCAUGGUGUGUCCAACCUUCUAAAUGUGCUUCCAGAUCUUCAUGGCAGAAGCAGCACUGAAGAGGGAUUUAUGCUCCCAUCAUUGCAGUUUUUAAAGGAUGCAUUAGAAGUGAUUAUAUGAACAGUGAAGGAAAUGGAAUGAUGUGGGAAAAUGUUAAAAUAUUUCUAUAAGUCACAGAAAGAGGUCAAAUUCUACAUAUUCAGUACCCUCUACAUUUUUUUGCA
Molecule: long non-coding RNA, 431 nt
Organism: Mastomys coucha (southern multimammate mouse)
Lineage: Eukaryota; Metazoa; Chordata; Mammalia; Rodentia; Muridae
Exons: 5
Source: RefSeq, a predicted model, not a curated record